CUAGCUACAGGCUUAACACAUGCAAGUCGAGGGGAAACGGCAUUGAGUGCUUGCACUCUUUGGACGUCGACCGGCGCACGGGUGAGUAACGCGUAUCCAACCUUCCCAUUACUGUGGGAUAACCUGCCGAAAGGCAGACUAAUACCGCAUAGUCUUCGAUGACGGCAUCAGAUUUGAAGUAAAGAUUUAUCGGUAAUGGAUGGGGAUGCGUCUGAUUAGCUUGUUGGCGGGGUAACGGCCCACCAAGGCUACGAUCAGUAGGGGUUCUGAGAGGAAGGUCCCCCACAUUGGAACUGAGACACGGUCCAAACUCCUACGGGAGGCAGCAGUGAGGAAUAUUGGUCAAUGGACGGAAGUCUGAACCAGCCAAGUAGCGUGCAGGAUGACGGCCCUAUGGGUUGUAAACUGCUUUUGUAUGGGGAUAAAGUUAGGGACGUGUCCCUAUUUGCAGGUACCAUACGAAUAAGGACCGGCUAAUUCCGUGCCAGCAGCCGCGGU
This 498-nucleotide ribosomal RNA is filed under the name Prevotella sp. oral clone BP1-28. RNAcentral describes it as "bacterial SSU rRNA". It matches the Rfam family "Bacterial small subunit ribosomal RNA", at positions 36 to 521 of the family's 1533-position model. Lineage: Bacteria; Pseudomonadati; Bacteroidota; Bacteroidia; Bacteroidales; Prevotellaceae. The record is from RNAcentral.